UACGAAGGGUGCAAACGUUGCUCGGAAUCAUUGGGCGUAAAGCGCACGUAGGCGGCUUCGCAAGUCGGAUGUGAAAUCCCUCGGCUCAACCGAGGACGUGCAUACGAAACUGCGGAGCUUGAGUGCUGAAGAGGAUCGCGGAAUUCCCGGUGUAGAGGUGAAAUUCGUAGAUAUUGGGAAGAACACCGGUGGCGAAGGCGGCUCACUGGCUCAUAUCUGACGCUCAGGCGCGACAGCGUGGGGAUCAAACAGG
This 253-nucleotide ribosomal RNA is filed under the name uncultured bacterium. RNAcentral's name for it is "partial 16S ribosomal RNA". It matches the Rfam family "Bacterial small subunit ribosomal RNA", at positions 524 to 776 of the family's 1533-position model. The record is from RNAcentral.